GUCCCGGCGCGCCGCUGGCCGUGGGCGGAGCGGGAGAGGCGGGCGAGGCGGGCGGCUGCUGUGGAAGAGGCUGGGCCCGUGCGCUGUCGGGGCUGCAGGAAGACGCACAGAGCUUGUUUGAGCAAGACCAGGAUGGAAGAGCCCAAUGGGGACCUUCCCAUGCGGAGAGACGCCGUCCUCUCCGAGUCGUGCUGUGAUCAUGCUGUGACAAACCUGCACUAAACUCGCUGGGCAUUUGGAAAACUGUAUUUGCAGCUGUUCCUGGGCCUACAUCAAAGACCUC
Molecule: long non-coding RNA, 283 nt
Filed under: Lepidothrix coronata (blue-crowned manakin)
Lineage: Eukaryota; Metazoa; Chordata; Aves; Passeriformes; Pipridae
Description: lncRNA (ENSLCOG00000013814.1)
Source: RNAcentral